Molecule: ribosomal RNA, 267 nt
Filed under: Xanthomonas citri pv. citri
Lineage: Bacteria; Pseudomonadati; Pseudomonadota; Gammaproteobacteria; Lysobacterales; Lysobacteraceae
Description: partial 16S ribosomal RNA
Rfam family: Bacterial small subunit ribosomal RNA
Source: RNAcentral
GGAAAGCCGGUCUCAGUUCGGAUUGGGGUCUGCAACUCGACCUCAUGAAGUCGGAGUCGCUAGUAAUCGCAGAUCAGCAACGCUGCGGUGAAUACGUUCCCGGGCCUUGUACACACCGCCCGUCAAGUCAUGAAAGUUGGUAACACCCGAAGCCGGUGGCCUAACCGUUGUGGGGGAGCCGUCGAAGGUGGGACUGGUGAUUAGGACUAAGUCGUAACAAGGUAGCCGUAUCGGAAGGUGCGGCUGGAUCACCUCCUUUCUAAGGAG